Molecule: ribosomal RNA, 484 nt
Filed under: uncultured bacterium
Lineage: Bacteria
Description: partial 16S ribosomal RNA
Rfam family: Bacterial small subunit ribosomal RNA
Source: RNAcentral
AUUGAACGCUGGCGGCAGGCCUAACACAUGCAAGUCGAGCGGAUGAAGGGAGCUUGCUCCUGGAUUCAGCGGCGGACGGGUGAGUAAUGCCUAGGAAUCUGCCUGGUAGUGGGGGAUAACGUCCGGAAACGGGCGCUAAUACUGCAUACGUCCUGAGGGAGAAAGUGGGGGAUCUUCGGACCUCACGCUAUCAGAUGAGCCUAGGUCGGAUUAGCUAGUUGGUGGGGUAAAGGCCUACCAAGGCGACGAUCCGUAACUGGUCUGAGAGGAUGAUCAGUCACACUGGAACUGAGACACGGUCCAGACUCCUACGGGAGGCAGCAGUGGGGAAUAUUGGACAAUGGGCGAAAGCCUGAUCCAGCCAUGCCGCGUGUGUGAAGAAGGUCUUCGGAUUGUAAAGCACUUUAAGUUGGGAGGAAGGGCAGUAAGUUAAUACCUUGUUGUUUUGACGUUACCAACAGAAUAAGCACCGGCUAACUUCGUG